Molecule: ribosomal RNA, 505 nt
Filed under: uncultured Fidelibacterota bacterium
Lineage: Bacteria; Pseudomonadati; Fidelibacterota
Description: bacterial SSU rRNA
Rfam family: Bacterial small subunit ribosomal RNA
Source: RNAcentral
AGAGUUUGUUAUGGCUAGGACGAACGCUGGCGGUGUGCUAAACACGCAGUCAGGAGCACUUAUUUUCGGAUAUAUAGUAACUGGCGAACGGGUGAGUAAGCGUAAUAACUUGCUUCGGAGAUCGGGAAACAUCGGGAAAUAGUGCUAAUACUAAAUAAUGCAGCGGGCUUUUUGGGGCAUAGUUGUCAAGUAGGCUUUGGCUUACACUUUGAGAUAGAUUUGCGUUCGAUAGUUAGUUGAUAGGGUAAUAGCUUACCUGACCGAGAUUGGUAGCUGGUCUGAGAGGAUGAUUAGCUACACUGGAAUGAGAUACGGUCUAGAAUUUUACGGGAGGCAGCAGUGAGGAAAUUUUCACAAGGGCGAAAACUUGAUGCAGCAACACUGCGUGAUUUAUGAUGUCUUAGAAUGUAAUAUUUUUGUAAGGGAUGAAUGUUCGGAGUUAAACUAUUUUUUACUUACGGUAUUUAAAAGUGGAUGGCUAAACUUCUGCCAGCAGCCCCGGUAA